ACGGGGCGCAGCAGGCGCGAAAACUUCACACUGCAGGAAACUGUGAUGAGGGAAUUCCAAGUGGCUAGACAAAGUCUAGUCUUUUUGUAACUUUUAAUCGGUUACAGAAUAAGGGGUGGGAAAGACCGGUGCCAGCAGCCGCGGUAAU
This 148-nucleotide ribosomal RNA is filed under the name uncultured archaeon. RNAcentral describes it as "partial 16S ribosomal RNA". It matches the Rfam family "Archaeal small subunit ribosomal RNA", at positions 325 to 474 of the family's 1478-position model. The record is from RNAcentral.